This 97-nucleotide transfer RNA is filed under the name Hypsizygus marmoreus. It matches the Rfam family "tRNA". From Rfam's summary of the family: Transfer RNA (tRNA) molecules are approximately 80 nucleotides in length. Lineage: Eukaryota; Fungi; Basidiomycota; Agaricomycetes; Agaricales; Lyophyllaceae. The record is from Rfam by way of RNAcentral.
GGCCUUAUAGUCUAGAGGUACGAUACUUGCUUUGGGAUCCUGGGACUCGAACCCGUGGCAUAUGCAAGUGGCCUGGGUUCGAUUCCCAGUGAGGCCC